RNAcentral lists this ribosomal RNA (460 nucleotides) under uncultured bacterium. RNAcentral's name for it is "partial 16S ribosomal RNA". It matches the Rfam family "Bacterial small subunit ribosomal RNA", at positions 338 to 795 of the family's 1533-position model. The record is from RNAcentral.
CCUACGGGAGGCAGCAGUGAGGAAUAUUGGUCAAUGGACGCAAGUCUGAACCAGCCACGCCGCGUGCAGGAAGACGGCUCUAUGAGUUGUAAACUGCUUUUGUACGAGGGUAAACGCAGAUACGCGUAUCUGUCUGAAAGUAUCGUACGAAUAAGGAUCGGCUAACUCCGUGCCAGUAGCCGCGGUAAUACGGAGGAUUCAAGCGUUAUCCGGAUUUAUUGGGUUUAAAGGGUGCGUAGGCGGUCGGAUAAGUUAGAGGUGAAAUCCCGAGGCUCAACUUCGGAAUUGCCUCUGAUACUGUUCGGCUAGAGAGUAGUUGCGGUAGGCGGAAUGUAUGGUGUAGCGGUGAAAUGCUUAGAGAUCAUACAGAACACCGAUUGCGAAGGCAGCUUACCAAGCUACUUCUGACGUUGAGGCACGAAAGCGUGGGGAGCAAACAGGAUUAGAUACCCUUGUAGUC